UACGUAGGUCCCGAGCGUUGUCCGGAUUUAUUGGGCGUAAAGCAAGCGCAGGUGGUUUAUUAAGUCUGGUGUAAAAGGCAGUGGCUCAACCAUUGUAUGCAUUGGAAACUGGUAGACUUGAGUGCAGGAGAAGAGAGUGGAAUUCCAUGUGUAGCGGUGAAAUGCGUAGAUAUAUGGAGGAACACCGGUGGCGAAAGCGGCUCUCUGGCCUGUAACUGACACUGAGGCUCGAAAGCGUGGGGAGCAAACAGG
Molecule: ribosomal RNA, 252 nt
Filed under: uncultured bacterium
Lineage: Bacteria
Description: partial 16S ribosomal RNA
Rfam family: Bacterial small subunit ribosomal RNA
Source: RNAcentral